Molecule: transfer RNA, 72 nt
Filed under: Camelus bactrianus (Bactrian camel)
Lineage: Eukaryota; Metazoa; Chordata; Mammalia; Artiodactyla; Camelidae
Also listed under: 1 other name
Rfam family: tRNA
About the family: Transfer RNA (tRNA) molecules are approximately 80 nucleotides in length. Their secondary structure includes four short double-helical elements and three loops (D, anti-codon, and T loops). Further hydrogen bonds mediate the characteristic L-shaped molecular structure. tRNAs have two regions of fundamental functional importance: the anti-codon, which is responsible for specific mRNA codon recognition, and the 3' end, to which the tRNAs corresponding amino acid is attached (by aminoacyl-tRNA synthetases). tRNAs cope with the degeneracy of the genetic code in two manners: having more than one tRNA (with a specific anti-codon) for a particular amino acid; and 'wobble' base-pairing, i.e. permitting non-standard base-pairing at the 3rd anti-codon position.
Source: Rfam by way of RNAcentral
GUGGGUAUAGCUCAGUGGUAGAGUGAAUGCCUAGCAUGUAUGGGGUCCUGGGUUCAAUCCCCAGUACCUCCA